GCUGGGCAAAGUGGUGCAUGCCUGUAAUCCCAGCGGUUUGGGAGGCUGAGGCAAGAGGAUCGCAAGUUCAAAGUCAGCCUCAGCAACUUAGCGAGGCUCUAAGCAACUCAGUGAGAUCCUGUCUCUA
Molecule: small RNA, 127 nt
Filed under: Marmota monax (woodchuck)
Lineage: Eukaryota; Metazoa; Chordata; Mammalia; Rodentia; Sciuridae
Source: RNAcentral